Molecule: ribosomal RNA, 478 nt
Filed under: uncultured bacterium
Lineage: Bacteria
Description: partial 16S ribosomal RNA
Rfam family: Bacterial small subunit ribosomal RNA
Source: RNAcentral
GACGAACGCUGGCGGCGUGCUUAACACAUGCGAGUCGAACGGUAAGGCCCUUCGGGGUACACGAGUGGCGAACGGGUGAGUAACACGUGGGUGAUCUGCCCUGCACUUCGGGAUAAGCCUGGGAAACUGGGUCUAAUACCGGAUAGGACCACUGCCUGCAUGGGUGGUGGUGGAAAGCUUUUGCGGUGUGGGAUGGGCCCGCGGCCUAUCAGCUUGUUGGUGGGGUGAUGGCCUACCAAGGCGACGACGGGUAGCCGGCCUGAGAGGGUGACCGGCCACACUGGGACUGUGAUACGGCCCAGACUCCUACGGGAGGCGGCAGUCGGGAAUAUUGCACAAUGGGCGCAAGCCUGAUGCAGCGACGCCGCGUGAGGGAUGACGGCCUUCGGGUUGUAAACCUCUUUCAGCACCGACGAAGCGCAAGUGACGGUAGGUGCAGAAGAAGGACCGGCCAACUACGUGCCAGCCGCCGCCGUAA